GCUAACAAUCUAGCCCAAUUUUAACCAAUGAUGACCUCUUAAUUUAAUUCACCAACUAAACCAUUCUUUUAGUCUAGUAAAGGGGAUUGAAAAAUUCUUAAGGCGCUAUACCUUAGUACCGCAAGGGAAAGAUGAAAUAAAAAUGAAACAAAUAUCAAGCAAAAAGAAGUAGAGACUCACUCUCGUACCUUUUGCAUCAUGGUUUAACUAGUCAAAUCAAGCAAAAAGACUUAAAGUUUGACCCCCCGAAACUAAGUGAGCUACUUCAAGGCAGCUUUAUGAGCCAACCCGUCUCUGUUGCAAAAGAGUGGGAAGACCUUCAAGUAGGGGUGACAGACCUACCGAACUUAGUGAUAGCUGGUUGCCUGGGAAAAGGAUUUUAGUCCAACCUAAAAUCACAACUUUAUAUUUUACAAAUUUGAAUUUGAUUUUAGAGCAAUUCAAGUAAGGUACAGCCUGCUUGAAACAGGAUACAACCUAAAAUUGAGGGUAACCCCGAUCCAAUUUGCAGUAAAGUGGGCCUAAAAGCAGCCACCUUUAAAACAGCGUCACAGCUUAACUGCAAGACAGAUCUAAUUUCAAAAACUCUAAUGAACCCCACUUUAGUACCAAGCAAUUCUAUAUUUCUAUAGAACCUUUUAUGUUAAAACUAGUAACAAGAAGCACCCCUUCUCUUAAAUGCAAGUAUAAAUCAGCUAGGACCCACCACUGAUAAUUAACACCCAUGAACUUACAGUAGAAACACCACAAGAAAACCCUACUUCACCCCAUGUUAAUCUAACACAAGAGCAUUACAAGAAAGAUUAAAAGAAAAAGAAGGAACUCGGCAAACAUUAACCCCGCCUGUUUACCAAAAACAUCGCCUCUUGAUAAACUUAUAAGAGGUCCAGCCUGCCCAGUGACUCUGUUCAACGGCCGCGGUAUCCUAACCGUGCGAAGGUAGCGUAAUCACUUGUUCUUUAAAUGAGGACUAGUAUGAAUGGCACCACGAAGGUUAUACUGUCUCCUUUCUCUAAUCAGUGAAACUAAUCUCCCCGUGAAGAAGCGGGGAUGAAAAUAUAAGACGAGAAGACCCUAUGGAGCUUCAAACAAAUAUACAACUGCCUAUUCCACUAAAAAUUUCAGGAAAAAAACACCUAUCCAGGCACUUUGAUAUAGAGUUUUAGGUUGGGGUGACCACGGAGUAAAAAACAACCUCCGUAAUGAAAGGGAAUUUUCCCUAAACUAAGGACUACAACCCUAAGUAUCAAUAAAUUGACACCAAUUGACCCAAAAUACAUUUGACCAAUGAACCAAGUUACCCUAGGGAUAACAGCGCAAUCCACUUCAAGAGCCCCUAUCGACAAGUGGGUUUACGACCUCGAUGUUGGAUCAGGGUAUCCUAGUGGUGC
This 1391-nucleotide ribosomal RNA is filed under the name Leptodactylus cunicularius (rabbit-burrow frog). RNAcentral describes it as "partial 16S ribosomal RNA". It matches the Rfam family "Bacterial large subunit ribosomal RNA", at positions 133 to 2556 of the family's 2925-position model. The record is from RNAcentral. Lineage: Eukaryota; Metazoa; Chordata; Amphibia; Anura; Leptodactylidae.